Molecule: unclassified non-coding RNA, 169 nt
Filed under: uncultured Cladophialophora
Lineage: Eukaryota; Fungi; Ascomycota; Eurotiomycetes; Chaetothyriales; Herpotrichiellaceae
Description: sequence contains ITS2
Source: RNAcentral
UCACCCCUCGGGCCCCGUGCUCGGUGUUGGACGGCCGGUUCGGGCGACCGAACCCCUCCUAAAGACAAUGACGGCGGCCUGUGGUUCCCCCGGUACACUGAGCCUUUGGCACGUGCCGGACGAGGGCGCCCAGGACCCGGUCCUCUCCUCUCAGCAGGAAACUUCUCAA